Molecule: ribosomal RNA, 484 nt
Filed under: uncultured bacterium
Lineage: Bacteria
Description: partial 16S ribosomal RNA
Rfam family: Bacterial small subunit ribosomal RNA
Source: RNAcentral
AUUGAACGCUGGCGGCAGGCCUAACACAUGCAAGUCGAGCGGAUGAAGGGAGCUUGCUCCUGGAUUCAGCGGCGGACGGGUGAGUAAUGCCUAGGAAUCUGCCUGGUAGUGGGGGAUAACGUCCGGAAACGGGCGCUAAUACCGCAUACGUCCUGAGGGAGAAAGUGGGGGAUCUUCGGACCUCACGCUAUCAGAUGAGCCUAGGUCGGAUUAGCUAGUUGGUGGGGUAAAGGCCUACCAAGGCGACGAUCCGUAACUGGUCUGAGAGGAUGAUCAGUCACACUGGAACUGAGACACGGUCCAGACUCCUACGGGAGGCAGCAGUGGGGAAUAUUGGACAAUGGGCGAAAGCCUGAUCCAGCCAAGCCGCGUGUGUGAAGAAGGUCUUCGGAUUGUAAAGCACUUUAAGUUGGGAGGAAGGGCAGUAAGUUAACACCUUGCUGUUUUGACGUUACCAACAGAAUAAGCACCGGCUAACUUCGUG